This is a long non-coding RNA of Myotis davidii, 509 nucleotides long. RefSeq lists it as uncharacterized. NCBI's taxonomy places the organism in Eukaryota, Metazoa, Chordata, Mammalia, Chiroptera, Vespertilionidae. The transcript has 2 exons. The record is from RefSeq and is a predicted model, not a curated record.
CUGGAGCAGGCUCCCGGGUCAGCUGGGAGAACGCGUCGAGUUCCAUCUCGCCUCACAAAUUCUGUCCAAAGCCCUACCCUGUGCCAGGCACCCAGACACGGAGGGAAGCCAGACCAGGCCCCUGCUGUCAUGGGACUUGCGUUCGAGUGCGGAAACAGAUGACAAGUACAUAGCACGGGCACCACCAGAGAGCGAGGGAGUCGGAACCCCACAGGGAGUUAAAACAGGCUGUGACAGAGAGGGACCUGGACCACUUUACAGGAGGUAGUCAGGGAAAGUGUCUCUGAGGAUGUGCCAUUUCCGGGAAAUCUAGAUGAUGAGAAGGAGUUGGCCAUGUCAAAGGUCGGGGAAAGAGCAGUCCUGGCAGAGGGAACAGCAGUGCAAAGGUCCUGAGGCAGGAGCUGGCUCCAAGUGCCCGAGGAACAGAAAGACUAGAGCGGAUGAAAGGACGAAUGGCCUCGGUCACAGGGGUAGGCUAUUUAGGACUUUGGAUUUUGUUCUUGUGUGGC